AUGUUGUUACUUGAAAGAGGCAAAGGUCUCAAAGAUCUCAAAGUUCCUUCUUCAUUUUUUAAGUUGGCAGUUCCAAACUUCACACAAGUAUCUUCUCUUGUACAUAGAAGAAGUACAAUAUGGUCGACUGCAGGUGCCUCCCCAGGGACACAGCUACUACCGUCACUGUUGAAAGAAUCACAGUUGUACUGGAAGGUCCUUCCUGCUUGUUGUGUCUGCCUUCUCAUCUUAUUUAUGAUCGUUUAUGUGAAGAAGCAGCAACAACUUGAUUUGUUUUCUUGUGUAGUAAUAUGUGAGUUGCAUUUGCAGACAUAUAUGGUUCAAGUCACUCUAUGUUAG
RNAcentral lists this ribosomal RNA (339 nucleotides) under Triticum aestivum (bread wheat). RNAcentral's name for it is "partial small subunit ribosomal RNA". The record is from RNAcentral. Lineage: Eukaryota; Viridiplantae; Streptophyta; Magnoliopsida; Poales; Poaceae.